UGAGCAAUCUGCCCUUCACAUCGGAAUAACCAUUGGAAACGAUGGCUAAUACCGAAUAUGACUUCGGAUCGCAUGAUCUGAAGUGGAAAGCUCCGGCGGUGAAGGAUGAGCUCGCGGCCUAUCAGCUUGUUGGUGAGGUAAUAGCUCACCAAGGCGAUGGACGGGUAGCCGGCCUGAGGAGGGUCGACCGGCCACACGUGGGACUGACGACGACCGGCAGUACCG
RNAcentral lists this ribosomal RNA (225 nucleotides) under uncultured bacterium. RNAcentral describes it as "partial 16S ribosomal RNA". The stretch from base 1 to 195 matches the Rfam family "Bacterial small subunit ribosomal RNA", at positions 118 to 311 of the family's 1533-position model. The record is from RNAcentral.